GGGGUUGUGGCUCAGUGGUAGAGUACUUGCCUGGCAUGUGUGAGGCACUGGAUUUGAUCCUCAGUACCACAUAAAAAUGAAUGAAUAAAAUAAAGAUAUUGUGUCCAUCUACAACUAAAAAAAUAUUAAGAGUUUAUAGUAAUUCCUGUGGCUCAGGAGGCUAUAGUAUGAGAAUGUAAGUUCAAAGCCAGCCUCA
This 196-nucleotide transfer RNA is filed under the name Marmota monax (woodchuck). RNAcentral describes it as "tRNA.Ala". The record is from RNAcentral. Lineage: Eukaryota; Metazoa; Chordata; Mammalia; Rodentia; Sciuridae.